This 72-nucleotide transfer RNA is filed under the name Paracercomonas marina. RNAcentral's name for it is "tRNA-Leu". It matches the Rfam family "tRNA". Rfam says of the family: Transfer RNA (tRNA) molecules are approximately 80 nucleotides in length. The record is from RNAcentral. Lineage: Eukaryota; Cercozoa; Cercomonadida; Cercomonadidae.
GCUUUAGUGGCGCAAUAGCGGCGCAAUGGACUUAAAAUCCAAAGGAUGGGGGUGCAAGUCCCUCCUAGAGUA